Molecule: unclassified non-coding RNA, 646 nt
Filed under: Hevea brasiliensis (rubber tree)
Lineage: Eukaryota; Viridiplantae; Streptophyta; Magnoliopsida; Malpighiales; Euphorbiaceae
Source: RNAcentral
GUCAUCCGGAUCUACAAUUUCGGGUCGAAUAGAUAAGUAGCCGGAAUUACUUUGGAAUUGGGUCAAAGUUAUAGGCUACCCCACCAUUUUCAGAUGUUCUGGACACGUUCCAGUUGUCAGAUUUGGUAUAGGUAAACUCAAACUCUAUAUUACUCAAUUUUUGCCUUGUACUGGGUUAGAAUAAAAUUUAUAAAAUAUUCGUGGAUGAUAAGAAAAUUACGAUUCCUAUUGCAAUAGCCUUAUAAUAUUGUUAAAGACCGCGAGGCAGGUUUAUAGAAUUUUUAAAGUUAGUUUGGAUAGUUUUUGAAAAAUAUUAGUUUUGAAGUCUUAUAAUUGAGUUGUCUGAUGUUGUGAUUAUUGCUUGGUUUGGAGGGCCUAAGAGGGGCCAUAUAAUGAUGAUGGGAUAUGGGUUGAGUUUAGAAGUGUUAUUUGAACCAUUUUGCAAGUUGGGUAGGUCCUAGGUAUAGUAUAGGAGAGACUCUGCGGAUUUUCGGUACGACUUAGGAUAUCUUUGGUCUUUUCUUAGUUUGUAUUGAGUCAAAUUUAUUAAAUGAUUGAAAUAAAGUUGUUAGGUGAGCCGAGAUAGCCUUCUUCCUCCGCUCAGCCGCCAUAGUGACUGCUGUCAAGUCUGUGAAUAAAAUAUUAA